UUUCCGUAGGUGAACCUGCGGAAGGAUCAUUUUCAAACAAAAAAACUUAUAUCAACCAACCAUGUGAAUUGUUGCUUGUUAUUCCUUACUUCCUUUUUUGUUCAAAAAAAAGAGAGGGUGUAGGAUUGUAAUAGAUCCUUCAUUCCACUUUUUUUGGCGAACUCAAGAGGGAGGCCUUGAUGAACUACCUUGUCACCAAGGUUUAUACUUGUGCUUUCGAAAGAAGACCAAUUCUUUUCUUAAAACGAAAUCAAUUGAAGUUGACAACUUUUAACGGUGGAUCUCUUGGCUCGU
RNAcentral lists this unclassified non-coding RNA (294 nucleotides) under plant metagenome. RNAcentral's name for it is "partial contains small subunit ribosomal RNA, internal transcribed spacer 1, and 5.8S ribosomal RNA". The record is from RNAcentral.